AAGUAUUUGAAUUUGAUUUUGUUUUCAUUAGAAAAGUUGCAUGGAUCAUGGUGCUUAAAUGAAUUUUUUCAUCAACCCAUUUUAACUUUUUAUUUCUGACUAUAUGUGACAUUUCUUAAAAUGUUUGUGUUUCUCAUGACAGAAAGAUAUUUUACUUGAAUUUAUUUACUUUUAUCUUAUAUGCAUUAGUUGUUGUUGUUGACAUCUCAGUAAUUAGGCCUCUGAUGGAUUAUUGUCUCCUUAUUUUCAUAUUUAAAUUUAAUUUUACAUUUUAAAGGCAUUAUUUUUUUGUUCUCUAUAUUGUGUUCAAAGAUUUCAAUCAGCAUUUAUUCAAACACUCCAAUCUCUAUAAAAUGAUUUAACAAAUUGUUAUUAAUGUAUAUUAUAUCAAUGUGCUUUUCUGUAGGACUUCAAAGGUCUCUCAAAUCAAAACACAAGUUGCCAUUUUUUUCAGAUUGGGAUUAGUAUGCACUCAUUGCACAACUACUGAAUGAGUGGAAAAAAGUUUUUAAAACAUUUCGGUAGACAAAUGUGUUUUUUCCAAUUUAUGCAUAAAUAAAAAAAAUAAAAAAUUUCAAAGCAAAGCAGAUUUUAAGUAAGGUUUAUAUAUAUUUACUAACAGUACAUUAUGAUUUAACAUACUUUUGGCUGUUAACAAUUUCGAAUAUUCAGUAGCACUAAAUUUUUUUAUUAGUUUAAUCAUAUUUUCAGAUUAUUUUAGAAUUGUUUUUUUGCAAUAUUUAAUGAUAUUCUUUACUGUGGCCUUAUUGGUUCCUUUUUAUGUUAUUGUGCUAUUUUUAUUAUUUGUUAUCUAUAAUUUUUCUAUAGUUUCUAGUCACUGGCAUUCAAUUUUGCACUCAUUUCAUCCGUCCAGUGUAUUUUAGAUAAAUAUGUUUAAUAGUAUUGUUUUGCUAACAAAAACUUGUGACACCAAUCUUCACUAAUUGAGCAGAGCUUGUAACCCUUUUAGAGCACCAGAGUUAUGACCCAUAUUGUUUUGAGUUGAUCAAGUGGUUGUUUGACUCUUUUCUUCACUUUAUAAUUUCAAUUGAUCAAGAUUAAGUUAAUAAAGAGUAUUAGGAAGCACUAUCUGUCAGAUUACUGCUCUGUAGUGUCAAAUUUGCCAUUUGUAAGCUAUUACCAACUCUUUCAAAGAAAACUAAUCUGUAUUAUCACUUGGUAAAUUGCAUUUAAUUUCAGUUCUCAUAAUUUAUUUAAAUGAUAUGAACCUCCAAAAAAUGAACAACUAACUUGUUUUGUAGUUCAAAAAAUUAUGACUCCAGCUCCUCAAUUUUUUUACAGAAGAAACAGGCAAUUCAUUAUCACUGAAUUAGUAUAUAUUUGUUUAGGGGCCAGCUGAAAGACGCCUCCGGACGCGGGAAUUUCUCUCUACAUUGAAGACCUAUUGGUGACCUUCUGCUAUUGUGUUUUUUUCUAUGGUCGGGUUGUUGUCUCUUUGACACAUUCCCCAUUUCCAUUCUCAAUUUUAAUUUUAAUGAAAAGGUCUGACCUGGUUAUUUUUUUGUCUUUAAACAUAUAGAUCUGUACAUUGAUGUUACUCAAUUUUAAAUUAUUGGAAGAUUUGUAUUUUUACAGGAAAUAUUUAUUUACUAUUUUGGGACCAACCAUCUUAUUCCUUUAUGCAUCUUAAUU
RNAcentral lists this long non-coding RNA (1653 nucleotides) under Mytilus galloprovincialis (Mediterranean mussel). The record is from RNAcentral. Lineage: Eukaryota; Metazoa; Mollusca; Bivalvia; Mytilida; Mytilidae.